This 467-nucleotide ribosomal RNA is filed under the name Escherichia coli. RNAcentral describes it as "bacterial SSU rRNA". It matches the Rfam family "Bacterial small subunit ribosomal RNA", at positions 1 to 464 of the family's 1533-position model. Lineage: Bacteria; Pseudomonadati; Pseudomonadota; Gammaproteobacteria; Enterobacterales; Enterobacteriaceae. The record is from RNAcentral.
AAAUUGAAGAGUUUGAUCAUGGCUCAGAUUGAACGCUGGCGGCAGGCCUAACACAUGCAAGUCGAACGGUAACAGGAAGCAGCUUGCUGCUUUGCUGACGAGUGGCGGACGGGUGAGUAAUGUCUGGGAAACUGCCUGAUGGAGGGGGAUAACUACUGGAAACGGUAGCUAAUACCGCAUAACGUCGCAAGACCAAAGAGGGGGACCUUCGGGCCUCUUGCCAUCGGAUGUGCCCAGAUGGGAUUAGCUAGUAGGUGGGGUAACGGCUCACCUAGGCGACGAUCCCUAGCUGGUCUGAGAGGAUGACCAGCCACACUGGAACUGAGACACGGUCCAGACUCCUACGGGAGGCAGCAGUGGGGAAUAUUGCACAAUGGGCGCAAGCCUGAUGCAGCCAUGCCGCGUGUAUGAAGAAGGCCUUCGGGUUGUAAAGUACUUUCAGCGGGGAGGAAGGGAGUAAAGUUAAU